CGACUGAAGAAAAAAAGUCACCUACAUCUUGGAUGCCCUGGGGGGCAGAUUACCACCAUCCCGUUGACCUCCCAGACAUCACUGGCCUGAAAUGGAAAGAAGCCAUCAUCCGGUGUCUGGAGAGCAUCUGUCCCUGAUCCAGGACCCAGCUAGACUCAGAGCCUGAAUCACCAACUUCAACCACGGAGCAUUCGUGUGUACCACCCACAGACAGAGAGCUACUACUCACCGCGACUCGUCAGCCAGAGCCCAAGGAGAAGAGGACAGAGCUCCGCCUGCUACCUUUAACCUCUUCGCUCCAUCUCGGCCUGUCGACCUGUUGGCUCUGUCUUUGCUCCUCCCAACUUCGACUCCACCGGAGACCCUUGGACUUGUGGCUCCACCGGGUUCCCUCGUCCUGGCAGCUCCCCCUUGGUCAGUCGUCACACCACUUCUGCCACGGACUUGCGGGCUUGUCUGCUGCACUCCAUCCCUCCACCCCUACAGCUGCAGCGGGUUCCUCCUUCCCCUUGGCAUCGCCUCUGUCCUCCAUCACACCGGCUCCACCUCAGCCCUCGCCGUGGCAACAUAGUGACUUGUAUAUAAGAAAUAACCAGUGACUGAUAUAUACACAAACAUACAAAGACAGAAAAAAAACAAAAAAAAAAACAAGCAAUAGUUGUAUGGUUGUGGUAGUUUCAACAGGUACAGAGGUAAAUUAAAUCCAUAGUUUCAUUAAUUGUAUUAAUAAUUAUUAUUAUUAUUUAAAUGUCCUUGUGUUGUUGUGUUUCAUGGACUUUUAGUAAGAUACCAAUAUUGCACUUUUAAUAACUCUUUUUAACAUCAAGCACAUCCCGCUCUUUAUUACUCAUUUGCCCAUGUUUCUUUAUCGCUCUAACAUGUCAAGAACUCCUGCCCACUAAAAACUGCAUGGAUAUAUUUGCAUACUGCAAUAUAUAAACAAUAUAGAAAAAGUU
Long non-coding RNA from Megalobrama amblycephala (Wuchang bream), 956 nucleotides. RefSeq lists it as uncharacterized. The transcript has 2 exons. The record is from RefSeq and is a predicted model, not a curated record. NCBI's taxonomy places the organism in Eukaryota, Metazoa, Chordata, Actinopteri, Cypriniformes, Xenocyprididae.